This 1135-nucleotide ribosomal RNA is filed under the name Halobacterium salinarum. RNAcentral's name for it is "bacterial SSU rRNA". It matches the Rfam family "Archaeal small subunit ribosomal RNA", at positions 40 to 1172 of the family's 1478-position model. Lineage: Archaea; Methanobacteriati; Methanobacteriota; Halobacteria; Halobacteriales; Halobacteriaceae. The record is from RNAcentral.
UCGAUUUAGGCCNUGCUAGUUGUGCGGGUUUAGACCCGCAGCGGAAAGCUCAGUAACACGUGGCCAAGCUACCCUGUGGACGGGAAUACUCUCGGGAAACUGAGGCUAAUCCCCGAUAACGCUUUGCUCCUGGAAGGGGCAAAGCCGGAAACGCUCCGGCGCCACAGGAUGCGGCUGCGGUCGAUUAGGUAGACGGUGGGGUAACGGCCCACCGUGCCCAUAAUCGGUACGGGUUGUGAGAGCAAGAGCCCGGAGACGGAAUCUGAGACAAGAUUCCGGGCCCUACGGGGCGCAGCAGGCGCGAAACCUUUACACUGUACGAAAGUGCGAUAAGGGGACUCCGAGUGUGAAGGCAUAGAGCCUUCACUUUUGUACACCGUAAGGUGGUGCACGAAUAAGGACUGGGCAAGACCGGUGCCAGCCGCCGCGGUAAUACCGGCAGUCCGAGUGAUGGCCGAUCUUAUUGGGCCUAAAGCGUCCGUAGCUGGCUGAACAAGUCCGUUGGGAAAUCUGUCCGCUUAACGGGCAGGCGUCCAGCGGAAACUGUUCAGCUUGGGACCGGAAGACCUGAGGGGUACGUCUGGGGUAGGAGUGAAAUCCUGUAAUCCUGGACGGACCGCCGGUGGCGAAAGCGCCUCAGGAGAACGGAUCCGACAGUGAGGGACGAAAGCUAGGGUCUCGAACCGGAUUAGAUACCCGGGUAGUCCUAGCUGUAAACGAUGUCCGCUAGGUGUGGCGCAGGCUACGAGCCUGCGCUGUGCCGUAGGGAAGCCGAGAAGCGGACCGCCUGGGAAGUACGUCUGCAAGGAUGAAACUUAANGGAAUUGGCGGGGGAGCACUACAACCGGAGGAGCCUGCGGUUUAAUUGGACUCAACGCCGGACAUCUCACCAGCCCCGACAGUAGUAAUGACGGUCAGGUUGAUGACCUUACCCGAGGCUACUGAGAGGAGGUGCAUGGCCGCCGUCAGCUCGUACCGUGAGGCGUCCUGUUAAGUCAGGCAACGAGCGAGACCCGCACUCCUAAUUGCCAGCAGUACCCUUUGGGUAGCUGGGUACAUUAGGUGGACUGCCGCUGCCAAANNGGAGGAAGGAACGGGCAACGGUAGGUCAGUAUGCCCCGAAUGGGCUGGGCAA